AUGAACGCUGGCGGCGUGCCUAAUACAUGCAAGUCGAGCGAACAGACGAGGAGCUUGCUCCUCUGACGUUAGCGGCGGACGGGUGAGUAACACGUGGCUAACCUACCUAUAAGACUGGGAUAACUUCGGGAAACCGGAGCUAAUACCGGAUAAUAUAUUGAACCGCAUGGUUCAAUAGUGAAAGACGGUUUUGCUGUCACUUAUAGAUGGAUCCGCGCCGCAUUAGCUAGUUGGUAAGGUAACGGCUUACCAAGGCGACGAUGCGUAGCCGACCUGAGAGGGGGAUCGGCCACACUGGAACUGAGACACGGUCCAGACUCCUACGGGAGGCAGCAGUAGGGAAUCUUCCGCAAUGGGCGAAAGCCUGACGGAGCAACGCCGCGUGAGUGAUGAAGGUCUUCGGAUCGUAAAACUCUGUUAUGAGGGAAGAACAAAUGUGUAAGUAACUAUGCACGUCUUGACGGUACCUAAUCAGAAAGCCACGGCUAACUACGUG
Molecule: ribosomal RNA, 496 nt
Filed under: uncultured bacterium
Lineage: Bacteria
Description: partial 16S ribosomal RNA
Rfam family: Bacterial small subunit ribosomal RNA
Source: RNAcentral